This 253-nucleotide ribosomal RNA is filed under the name uncultured bacterium. RNAcentral's name for it is "partial 16S ribosomal RNA". It matches the Rfam family "Bacterial small subunit ribosomal RNA", at positions 524 to 776 of the family's 1533-position model. The record is from RNAcentral.
GACAGAGGGUGCAAACGUUGUUCGGAAUUACUGGGCGUAAAGCGCGCGUAGGCGGCUUUGCAAGUCGGGUGCGAAAUCCCCAGGCUUAACCUGGGAACUGCAUUCGAGACUGCAUUGCUAGAGUAUGGGAGAGGGAAGUGGAAUUUCCGGUGUAGCGGUGAAAUGCGUAGAUAUCGGAAGGAACAUCAGUGGCGAAAGCGACUUCCUGGACCAAUACUGACGCUCAUGUGCGAAAGCGUGGGGAGCAAACAGG